RNAcentral lists this ribosomal RNA (443 nucleotides) under uncultured bacterium. RNAcentral describes it as "partial 16S ribosomal RNA". It matches the Rfam family "Bacterial small subunit ribosomal RNA", at positions 338 to 795 of the family's 1533-position model. The record is from RNAcentral.
CCUACGUGUGGCAGCAGUGGGGAAUAUUGCACAAUGGGCGAAAGCCUGAUGCAGCAACGCCGCGUGAAGGAAGAAGGGUUUCGGCUCGUAAACUUCUAUCAACAGGGACGAAAGAAAUGACGGUACAUGAAUAAGAAGCCCCGGCUAACUACGUGCCAGCAGCCGCGGUAAUACGUAGGGGGCAAGCGUUAUCCGGAAUUACUGGGUGUAAAGGGUGAGUAGGCGGGAUGGUAAGCCAGAUGUGAAAGCCUUGGGCUUAACCCGAGGAUUGCCUUUGGAACUAUCAAGCUAGAGUACAGGAGGGGCAGGCGGAAUUCCUGGUGUAGCGGUGAAAUGCGUAGAUAUCAGGAGGAACACCGGUGGCGAAGGCGGCCUGCUGGACUGCGACUGACGUUGAGGCCCGAAAGCGUGGGGAGCAAACAGGAUUAGAUACCCGUGUAGUC